UAGCUCCCGGGAUGAGACACCGUGCGAAAGCUAGCCUACGAAUACAGCAACAAAGUAGUGAGUACAUAUUCCGAACAUUCCUUUCUUACGAAGCGUCACGUUAAAAAAAAACUAAUUUGCUAUGGAAAAUGCACUGAAACCUCCAGGAUAAAUAGACUUUGAUGAUGGUAAUUUAGCACUUUCCUGGAAAAGAUGGAAAGAGGAUUUCAACCUGUAUAUGGAUCAGACAAUGGGAGAUAAGUCUGAUGAUGAGUGAAACUGUUGUAUUACCUCAUUGGUGAAAAAGGCAGGGAGAUAUGUGAGACACUGGGUGUCGGGAGUUCAGCAAAUUAUCUUUUUGUAGACAAAGUAAUAACAACACUGGAUGGAUUUUGCGAUCCAAAGAAAAAUGAAACAAUAGAGAGAUACAAUUUUUUCACACGUAGUCAGAGCCAAGAUGAGAGUUUGGAUAAAUAUCUCACUGAAUUGAGGACUCUGGCAGCAACAUGCAACUUUGGUGUAAUCACAGACUCUCUUAUCAGGGAUAGGACUGUGUGUGACACUUGGGACUCACACUUAAGGGAGCGCCUACUGAGAGAGACUGAUCUCAAGCUGUCGAGACAGAGAGUGAAAGUCAUAGAAGUACAGAGCUCUGCAACAAUACAUACAGUGACACGGAAAGAGAAACAUAGAGGGAGAGGACACCCUCCCGAGGAACUGAGUAUUUUACGAUGCAGACACUGUGGACGACAACAUGAGAGAAAAAAGUAAAAAUGCCCUGCAUUUGGACAAAAAUGCAAAGCGUGUGAAAAAAACAAUCACUUCCCUACUGUUUGCGAAAGUGCAGGAGCAAGCAGAAAAAACGCAGUCCUCGCAGUGGAAAAUGCAGAAGCUGAAUCAGAGAGAGGCGAUGAAGUGCUAUGCAUCGCGUGAGGCCCAACGUCCGAGAGCAACGACCCCAGCUCUAGCGCAGCUGUUCACGCAGUCAUGCGGGUGAACAAGAAAUCUGUCAGAUCUCAGUUAGAUUGUGGUGCCACUAGCAGUGUGACUGCUGCAAACAUCACAAAAGGCAUACAGCUAGCUACAGCCCUGCAGUCGGGUAUUACUGAUGUAUAAAAGACUACUCUGACGCCACUUGGUAAGUGCACACUCCAAGUGACAAAUCCACGCAACAGAAAAAGGUACAAAUUUGAGUUUAUUGUAGUCAAGAAGAACGCGUACAGACGCAUUCUAGGUUGCAAGGCCAGCCAGGAAAUGGAAUUGAUUACAGUGCAGCACCACAAUAUCCUGGCUAUCGAUGAGACAAGAUCCUGGACAGAAGAGCAGAUAAAACAGGACUAUGCAGACGUCUUCCAUGGAGAUGGACUUUUUUCUGGCAAACUGAAGCUGGAAGUAGAUGAGCGUGUGGAGCCAGUGAAGCUACCAAAGAGAAGGGUUCCAGAGGCCCUCUACAACCCACUCAAACAGGAGCUCACUAGCCUACAGAGUAGAGGAAUCAUAGUGCCUGUGGAAAAAAGCACAGACUGGGUCAGCAGCCUCAUCGUAGUGCGGAAACCAUCUGGGAAACUAUGAGUGUGUAUCGAUCCAAAACCUCUCAACAAGGAGCCACUAUCCACUACCCACAAUCGAAGAUGUACUACCAGACCUCAAUAGAGCACGACUGUUCUCUGUCUGCAAUAUCAAAAAUGGAUUCUGGCAUGUGGAACUGGUGGAAGAGUCCAGCUUUCUCACCACAUUCUCCACACCCAGGGGCCGCUGCCAAUGGGAAUCAGUCCAGCCCCAGAGAUCUUUCAGAGGAAGGACACAAUUUAAAAUAAUAAAAAAAAUACAAGAAAUAAACUUUUUUCCGGCACUUCUUGCACCUCCAAGAUGUUCUAACUAGCCGAAAUCAACGCAGAUGACACCAAUACGAACAUCGUGUGUGAUUGGUCAGAAAUUCAAGGUGGGCGUGAUUUAUUUUGUUUUAUUUCUGCAAGCUGAUUCCCCGUUGAUUACAAUAAUUACAUAUAUACAUAAUACAACAUAAUACAAUAAUACAACGUAGAGUAGAAAAAAAAACUUUUUUU
Anguilla rostrata (American eel) is the source of this 2045-nucleotide long non-coding RNA. RefSeq lists it as uncharacterized. The transcript has 2 exons. NCBI's taxonomy places the organism in Eukaryota, Metazoa, Chordata, Actinopteri, Anguilliformes, Anguillidae. The record is from RefSeq and is a predicted model, not a curated record.